CACUUUUGUAAUUUUUGGUAAACACUUGGAGACGUUAAAACAAAAACCCACAAACAAACCGAAGGAGUUUACACUACGUCCGUUUUCGUGACCGUUACAAUUUGAAAUCGAAAAGAGACUGAAUCGGACUGAGUCUCGGACCUUAAUGCGAGCCAAAACAGCGGGUGCUUAUAUACAGUCAAUGGCGAAAGUAUACUGACAGCAGAUGCAACAACAUAGCAACAGGCACGAAGUGCGAUACUGUUUCAUUCUUUACACUGAAACAAAGGAAGUGAGCAUUACCCUUCAGUACCAAAAGUCGCCGGGGACAAAAUCGCCGCAAAUUCCGAGCCACUGACGUCGGCAGAAAAAAAUUCUGCUAGCGUAUUUCAUGCUGAGUUUAGCCGACGGCACCCGAACGAUCAAAUGUCGUCAUCAAAACCCGAUCGAAAAGCAACAAAGUUUGUUAUUUGUCAUUAAAAAAAAAAAAUUGGACAAGAAGUAAAAUAAGUAAAGUAGCAAAGAAUACUUUAUGUUCUUCACUUCGUACUUCUGUGCAUUGUUGCUAUUGUUUUCUCCCACUUCUACACGCGGCGCUUUGUAUUCUUCGUUUCUUUGUGCAUUCUCGAUUGAUUUUCGUAAGGGCAGCAGCUAGCUAAAAUUUUUACAUACAAUUUUGAGUGAUUUUUUUCUAAUUCAGUGAAUACAACAAUUAAGAAUCCACCAAAAAUUCGAUUUCGGAUGACCAGGCGGAGAAUGUGACAUAAGACAUUGUUUGACUUGAGCUAAAAAUAAUAAUACAACAAACAAAACAAUAAAAAAAGUGAGAAAAAUGUAAACAUUGACAUGUCGCCGCAAAUUCGAUUGUAAAUCCGAGCUAUUUUGCUGGGACAUUCCGGCGAAAUGUCGCCGCAAGUUCCGUUGAACAUACGAGCAACUUGGUUCUUCGUCUUCAGCGGAUCGAGAGAAUGUCUGAGGCGCUAGGACACACAAUGCUAAAUGUCGCCGCAAAUUUGUAUGGCAUGUCCCCUGAAAUUCCGAGGCGACAUCUGACAAAUUGCCUGUUGCUAUAGCAACAGGCACGAAGUGUGAUACUGUUUCAUUCUUUACCCUGAAACAAAGGAAGUGAGGUUGUUUAUAGCCAACUAAGGUUUUAUACUGAACCGACAGAGCUUAAUAAAUAACCUUAGUAAAUAAUGAUAUUAUGGUUUAAUUAUUUUAGCAUUAAUAUCCAUCUAUGUAUG
Molecule: long non-coding RNA, 1223 nt
Organism: Drosophila willistoni
Lineage: Eukaryota; Metazoa; Arthropoda; Insecta; Diptera; Drosophilidae
Exons: 3
Source: RefSeq, a predicted model, not a curated record